This 1158-nucleotide unclassified non-coding RNA is filed under the name Diabrotica virgifera virgifera (western corn rootworm). RNAcentral describes it as "baculoviral IAP repeat-containing protein 3-like". The record is from RNAcentral. Lineage: Eukaryota; Metazoa; Arthropoda; Insecta; Coleoptera; Chrysomelidae.
GUAUGAAGUAGUAGACUAAAACAAGGCAUUAUUACAGAUACAGCCCUAUAGAACACGACGCAAGUACCUGCAACUCUCUCUCUCUCUCUCUUGCCUAGUUCUCGUGAAAAAGCCAGAAGGAUCUGGAACAAAAAACAACCCAGCAACUUCUUACCCUGUGGCUCAAAAGCUGUCAUCCACUUGAGUGAAAGGCUGCAAAACACAAGUUCUAGUGACUAUUUGAUACUGUCCUACGCACGGCAAAACUGCAUCGCACCUAGUUAUCGUGAAAACAUCAGAAGACCCAGGCAAAAACAAACCAGGUGGCCAUCUCCAUUCCUAGUUUCUCUCUUGGUCCAGCAGCCCUCUUGGUCCAGCAGCCGUGUACUGCAGCACACAACCAAACAAAACCCACAUUAUCUUCAAAAAGGAAACAAACGACAGAUAAAAUAAUGACCGGAAGGCCUGCUCGUGUGUGUGUGGAUUGUUGUUGUACAAACCAGUCGUCUGUGUCUGGAGACGAAUGUUGGGAUGACGAGUGGUAUGAAUCACCCCUGCCACAUAUCAAACGACGAUACAUGUAUCUACACCUGACGAGCUGUGGGGUUGAUUCAGACCACUCGUCGCCGACCCAACCCUCGUCUACAGACACUGACAACAUGUUUGUACACCAACAGUUGAGUGUCUCAGUAGACGAGUGUUGGGACAAUGAAGUAUAUGAGUCUCCAUUAUCUCAUAUUAAAACAGCAGCAUCAUUUAAAAAUAUUAUUAGGGAGCAACCACCGAAAAUGUCGAAAACGCAAAAAACAAAAUUUCGACAGGCGGAACGUGAGCGUCACCGACUAUUGUUUUUUAAAUGAUGCUCUUGUUUAUGUGUGGGUAACAGUUAGGCUAAGUUAUUUUUCUUGUUUUGCUGUUUUAGUUUUACCCUUAUUCUCUAGUUUUUAGGUUUUUUCGUGUUAGGUUAGUUUUUGUGUUAAGUUUUGUUGUUAAAGUUAGGCUGGUUUUUGUGUUAAGUUUUGUUGUUAAAGUUAGGUUAGUUUUGUGUUAAAAGUUAGUCUAUAGUUUGGCUUUUUAUUUUUGUCUUUGUAGUUUUUAGGUGUUAGGUUUUAUUUUCUAGUUUUUUAGGGUUUUUCAUGUUAAGUUGCUGUGUUAUAAGAAUAUACUUUUUUCCUCAUU